UUUUGUCGCAGAAAGCUCGACAUAGGGAUAGUGAUCCGGCGGCGGCUACGGCGGCGGCAACGGCGGCGGCUACGGCGGCGGCGUUAGCUAACUUCUUAAAAGCUUUAUAUUUUAGAAGGUAGAAGACCUGGAUGCUUCAUUCUUUGUAUAUGGAUGCCUCAUGUUACGAACUUUCCGUCAGUCACAUGUCCAAUAUCCUUGACCUCAUUUUCAUGGUUCAGUGACUACUUGAAAAAAAAGUUAAUAUUUUUUGUAAUGUUAAAUUCUCUCUUAUUAUAAGUAAUUGGAUAACUAUAUUUGGUAUGUGCGUACCUUGUAAGGUCCUCAUGCCCGUCAGACA
This 340-nucleotide long non-coding RNA is filed under the name Mytilus galloprovincialis (Mediterranean mussel). The record is from RNAcentral. Lineage: Eukaryota; Metazoa; Mollusca; Bivalvia; Mytilida; Mytilidae.